RNAcentral lists this long non-coding RNA (1567 nucleotides) under Ananas comosus (pineapple). Its description in RNAcentral is "long non-coding RNA (ACOM_LNC037877)". The record is from RNAcentral. Lineage: Eukaryota; Viridiplantae; Streptophyta; Magnoliopsida; Poales; Bromeliaceae.
GCGACUUCGUUGUGCAAUCGACGAUUCCCCGACUACCGACCGACCCCAACAUCAUCGCUAUUCGCUCUUUUAUUCAUCUCUAUAGCCAAUCCGCCCCAAAUCCUCUCGUCGUCUUUAUUCUCCCCUCUUGUCGCCUCCGAUCGAUGAUGCUGAAGCGCAGGAAGCUCCGGAUACCCCAAUCAGGAGGGUGACAUCGCUACGGGACGACGAUCCAUGGAGGCCGCGGCACCGAGGGCGCCGCCUCUGUGCCCUUGCGCAUGCCCCAUCUGCUGCUUGCUCCUCUCCGAAUGGCGCCGAUCCGUGAAGCGCAGGGCCGAACCUAAUGCGUUGUAGGCUGCGGCAGCCUCGUUGGGCGUAAACGCUAAGCUGAAUCCUCUUUAGUCGGCCUAAUAUAAAGUUCUUCGGACAACGAGACGCUUGGUUAGAUUAUGUGGAGGACAACAGGAUGGUGGGGAGGAAGAUAUGUCGGAUCUGGUGGCCGGAUAGGCCCCUCGUCGUCGAGCGCACGUCGAGCCUUUUGCUGUUCGGAUGGUUCAUAACCUGUGAGAGUUCGGGACCUGUUGAUGUCGUUGUCGCUGCUGCGAUUCCUCCGCACUCCAUCUCACUGUUUCUUCCACAAUCCGAUGAUCUUCAGGUAAUUCAGAUUCGGACGCUUACAACUUGUAUUAUGUUAUUUUUUUCUCUUCUUUCGGUUUUUGGACCCCUCUUUGGUCAGCAUUCUUUGACAUCAUUCUCGUAUAUAUGCUUUACUCCUUGUUUGCACAUUUCGCCGACGGUGCAGAAAGGCAUAUAGUUGGCGUUCGGAAACAAUAUUUGACAUGUUGUUGAUGCCUUGAUGUCGCUUACUAAGUCGCAUGACGUGAUGUUGGGUAUUUGUACGCACUAGAAGAUUUUCUACUCAUUUUUAUCCUUUAGUGUUUCUUUGUUUCAGGUCUAGGUUGUGGCCACUUCCACAACCACUUGCAGCAACUAAAAGCUGAUUUUCUGGUGUGCGACUUUUGCAUGUAGUGUCCAGCAGCUUAUUUUGGCUUAUUGCCGUAGCUAAAUGCUGAAGACACUUUAUUUUCCAAAUGCUUAACUUCUACUUCUCGAGUAAAGAGGUAUUCCGAACACCAAGCCAAACAGACUCCAAGGCCCUAUUAGUCCUGCUGGAGCUUUCAACAAAAUUGUUGUUCGAGUAGAGAGGGCUGUUCAAAAAGGCAGACAGUUGCUUUUUUAUUGAAGUUUCCUCCAAGUCCUCUGACCUAUAAAAGAUGUAGAAGUUUCAAAUUAGACUUCUAAUGUUGAGGCUAGUAUGUCAUUUUAGUUCUCGUUGCAGCUGAAACCCCAGAGCUUCUAUUUGCUGUAUGCGUAAUUGUCUCUUCUAGGAAUGGAAAAGCUGUCCCAAAACAAGCCAAAGAAGCAACAAGCCAAAGAAGCAUUGUGAAUAAUAGCCUUUCCAUUUUCAAAGCUAAACAAUUCAAAUGUACGUGGAUGUUCAAAAUUUUAAAUGCCGUUGCUUGAUCUCCAAGAUCUGUAAAUGCCUUCUUCUUCUCUCCUGUUGAGGGUUUGCUUUAUGUAGUCUAGA